GAGAGUUUGAUCCUGGCUCAGGAUGAACGCUAGCUACAGGCUUAACACAUGCAAGUCGAGGGGCAGCAUGGUCUUAGCUUGCUAAGGCCGAUGGCGACCGGCGCACGGGUGAGUAACGCGUAUCCAACCUGCCUUACACUCUUGGACAGCCUUCUGAAAGGGAGAUUAAUACAAGAUGUUAUCAUGAGUAAGCAUUUUCACAUGAUUAAAGGUUUACCGGUGUAAGAUGGGGAUGCGUUCCAUUAGAUAGUAGGCGGGGUAACGGCCCACCUAGUCUUCGAUGGAUAGGGGUUCUGAGAGGAAGGUCCCCCACAUUGGAACUGAGACACGGUCCAAACUCCUACGGGAGGCAGCAGUGAGGAAUAUUGGUCAAUGGACGAGAGUCUGAACCAGCCAAGUAGCGUGAAGGAUGAAGGUUCUAUGGAUUGUAAACUUCUUUUAUACGGGAAUAAACGAAUCCACGUGUGGAUUUUUGCAUGUACCGUAUGAAUAAGGAUCGGCUAACUCCGUGCCAGCAGCCGCGGUAAUACGGAGGAUCCGAGCGUUAUCCGGAUUUAUUGGGUUUAAAGGGAGCGUAGAUGGGUUGUUAAGUCAGUUGUGAAAGUUUGCGGCUCAACCGUAAAAUUGCAAUUGAUACUGGCAGUCUUGAGUACAGUUGAGGUAGGCGGAAUUCGUGGUGUAGCGGUGAAAUGCUUAGAUAUCACGAAGAACUCCGAUUGCGAAGGCAGCUUACUAACCUGUAACUGACAUUGAUGCUCGAAAGUGUAGGUAUCAAACAGGAUUAGAUACCCUGGUAGUCCACACGGUAGACGAUGAAUACUCGCUGUAGGCGAUAUACAGUCUGCGGCCAAGCGAAAGCAUUAAGUAUUCCACCUGGGGAGUACGCCGGCAACGGUGAAGCUCAAAGGAAUUGACGGGGGCCCGCACAAGCGGAGGAACAUGUGGUUUAAUUCGAUGAUACGCGAGGAACCUUACCUGGGCUUAAAUUGCAACCGAAUAUGGCGGAAACGCUAUAGCUAGCAAUAGCGGUUGUGAAGGUGCUGCAUGGUUGUCGUCAGCUCGUGCCGUGAGGUGUCGGCUUAAGUGCCAUAACGAGCGCAACCCUUGCCGAUAGUUACUAACAGGUUAUGCUGAGGACUCUGUCGGGACUGCCAUCGUAAGAUGUGAGGAAGGUGGGGAUGACGUCAAAUCAGCACGGCCCUUACGUCCGGGGCUACACACGUGUUACAAUGGGGGGUACAGAGGGCUGCUACCACGCAAGUGGAUGCCAAUCCCAAAAACCUCUCUCAGUUCGGAUUGAAGUCUGCAACCCGACUUCAUGAAGCUGGAUUCGCUAGUAAUCGCGCAUCAGCCACGGCGCGGUGAAUACGUUCCCGGGCCUUGUACACACCGCCCGUCAAGCCAUGGGAGCCGGGGGUACCUGAAGUGCGUAACCGCAAGGAGCGCCCUAGGGUAAAACUGGUGACUGGGGCUAAGUCGUAACAAGGUAGCCG
This 1493-nucleotide ribosomal RNA is filed under the name uncultured bacterium. RNAcentral describes it as "bacterial SSU rRNA". It matches the Rfam family "Bacterial small subunit ribosomal RNA". The record is from RNAcentral.